This 483-nucleotide ribosomal RNA is filed under the name uncultured bacterium. Its description in RNAcentral is "partial 16S ribosomal RNA". It matches the Rfam family "Bacterial small subunit ribosomal RNA", at positions 28 to 523 of the family's 1533-position model. The record is from RNAcentral.
GACGAACGCUGGCGGCGUGCUUUACACAUGCAAGUCGAACGAUGAAGCCGGAGCUUGCUCCGGUGGAUUAGUGGCGAACGGGUGAGUAACACGUGAGCAAUCUGCCCUUGACUCUGGGAUAACUGCGGGAAACUGUAGCUAAUACCGGAUACGACACCUUGGGGCAUCCCAGGGUGUGGAAAGAAUUUCGGUCAAGGAUGAGCUCGCGGCCUAUCAGCUAGUUGGUGAGGUAAUGGCUAACCAAGGCGACGACGGGUAGCCGGCCUGAGAGGGUGACCGGCCACACUGGAACUGAGACACGGUCCAGACUCCUACGGGAGGCAGCAGUGGGGAAUAUUGCACAAUGGGCGAAAGCCUGAUGCAGCAACGCCGCGUGAGGGAUGAAGGCCUUCGGGUUGUAAACCUCUUUUAGCAGGGAAGAAGCGAAAGUGACGGUACCUGCAGAAAAAGCACCGGCUAACUACGUGCCAGCAGCCGCAGUAA